GAGGUUAUAGCUCAGUAAUAGAGUAUUUGCCUAGCAUGCACAAGGUCCUGGGUUCAGUCCCCAGUACCUCCA
This 72-nucleotide transfer RNA is filed under the name Camelus bactrianus (Bactrian camel). It matches the Rfam family "tRNA". Rfam says of the family: Transfer RNA (tRNA) molecules are approximately 80 nucleotides in length. Their secondary structure includes four short double-helical elements and three loops (D, anti-codon, and T loops). RNAcentral also lists the same sequence under 3 other names. The record is from Rfam by way of RNAcentral. Lineage: Eukaryota; Metazoa; Chordata; Mammalia; Artiodactyla; Camelidae.